Molecule: ribosomal RNA, 407 nt
Filed under: uncultured bacterium
Lineage: Bacteria
Description: partial 16S ribosomal RNA
Rfam family: Bacterial small subunit ribosomal RNA
Source: RNAcentral
AUUGAACGCUAGCGGGAUGCUUUACACAUGCAAGUCGAACGGAGUGGCGGACGGGUGAGUAAUAUAUCGGAACGUGCCCAGUAGCGGGGGAUAACUACUCGAAAGAGUGGCUAAUACCGCAUACUCUUGGAGCGGCCGAUAGCGGCUUAGCUAGUUGGUGGGGUAACGGCUCACCACGGCAACGAGCCGUAGCUGGUUUGAGAGGACGUCCAGCCACACUGGGACUGAGACACGGCCCAGACUCCUACGGUGGGCAGCUGUGGGGAAUUUUGGACAAUGGGUGAAACCCUGAUCCAGCCAUCCCGCUUGUAUGAUGAGGGCCUUCGGGUUGUAAAGUACUUUUGGCAGAGAAGCGGUAUCUGCAGAAUAGGCACCGGCUAACUACGUGCCAGUAGCCGCGAUAAUAC